AUACGGAGGGUGCGAGCGUUAAUCGGAAUUACUGGGCGUAAAGCGUACGUAGGCGGUUUGCUAAGUCAGAUUUGAAAGCCCCGGGCUUAACCUGGGAACUGCAUUUGAUACUGGCAGACUAGAGUAUGAUAGAGGGGGGUAGAAUUCCUGGUGUAGCGGUGAAAUGCGUAGAUAUCAGGAGGAAUACCAGUGGCGAAGGCGGCCCCCUGGAUCAAUACUGACGCUGAGGUACGAAAGCGUGGGGAGCGAACAGGAUUAGAUACCCUAGUAGUCC
Molecule: ribosomal RNA, 274 nt
Filed under: uncultured bacterium
Lineage: Bacteria
Description: partial 16S ribosomal RNA
Rfam family: Bacterial small subunit ribosomal RNA
Source: RNAcentral